This 889-nucleotide ribosomal RNA is filed under the name Diplodia mutila. Its description in RNAcentral is "LSU rRNA". It matches the Rfam family "Eukaryotic large subunit ribosomal RNA", at positions 37 to 944 of the family's 3401-position model. The record is from RNAcentral. Lineage: Eukaryota; Fungi; Ascomycota; Dothideomycetes; Botryosphaeriales; Botryosphaeriaceae. RNAcentral also lists the same sequence under 1 other name.
AGCAUAUCAAUAAGCGGAGGAAAAGAAACCAACAGGGAUUGCCUUAGUAACGGCGAGUGAAGCGGCAACAGCUCAAAUUUGAAAGCUGGCCCUUUUAGGGUCCGCGUUGUAAUUUGUAGAGGAUGAUUCGGCGAGGGCUCCCGCCUAAGUCCCCUGGAACGGGGCGUCAUAGAGGGUGAGAAUCCCGUAUGCGGUGGGCUGCCUUAGCCAUGUGAAUCUCCUUCGACGAGUCGAGUUGUUUGGGAAUGCAGCUCUAAAUGGGAGGUAAAUUUCUUCUAAAGCUAAAUACCGGCCAGAGACCGAUAGCGCACAAGUAGAGUGAUCGAAAGAUGAAAAGCACUUUGGAAAGAGAGUUAAAAAGUACGUGAAAUUGUUGAAAGGGAAGCGCUUGCAACCAGACUUGUCCGCAGUUGCUCAGCCGGUCUCCUGACCGGCGUACUCUUCUGCGGCCAGGCCAGCAUCAGUUCGGGCGGUCGGAUAAAGACCUCGGGAAUGUAGCUCCUCUCGGGGAGUGUUAUAGCCCGGGGUGGAAUGCGGCCAGCCUGGACUGAGGAUCUCGCUUCGGCAAGGAUGCUGGCGUAAUGGUUGUAAGCGGCCCGUCUUGAAACACGGACCAAGGAGUCUAACAUCUAUGCGAGUGUUUGGGUGUCAAACCCAUACGCGUAAUGAAAGUGAACGGAGGUGGGAACCCGCAAGGGCGCACCAUCGGCCGAUCCUGAUGUCUUCGGAUGGAUUUGAGCAAGAGCAUAGCUGUUGGGACCCGAAAGAUGGUGAACUAUGCCUGAAUAGGGUGAAGCCAGAGGAAACUCUGGUGGAGGCUCGCAGCGGUUCUGACGUGCAAAUCGAUCGUCAAAUUUGGGUAUAGGGGCGAAAGACUAAUCGAACCAUC